UACGUAGGGUACGAGCGUUAAUCGGAAUUACUGGGCGUAAAGCGUGCGCAGGCGGCUUUGCAAGACAGAUGUGAAAUCCCCGGGCUCAACCUGGGAACUGCAUUUGUGACUGCAAGGCUAGAGUACGGCAGAGGUGGAUGGAAUUCCGCGUGUAGCAGUGAAAUGCGUAGAUAUGCGGAGGAACACCAAUGGCGAAGGCAAUCCCCUGGGCCUGUACUGACGCUCAUGCACGAAAGCGUGGGGAGCAAACAGG
Molecule: ribosomal RNA, 253 nt
Filed under: uncultured bacterium
Lineage: Bacteria
Description: partial 16S ribosomal RNA
Rfam family: Bacterial small subunit ribosomal RNA
Source: RNAcentral